CUAAUCUGGGGGAUGGGGAGGGUCUUCCUUCAACUAUGACGCAGAUCAUUGAUACGACACGAUACGGUUUUUGCUUCUCACUUUUACUUUCGUUUACAGCCGCAGGAACCGCCGCCUCUCUGCUAUGGUAGAGUUCAAUGGACACUGCAGAUAUAUUCCAUGUUUGCUGAUAUCAGUAGAGAGCAUUCUUGAUAUAGAUAUUGAUGACAGGUAAUGCUGGGGCUAUUGAGGUGAACGGAUAACCAUGAUAUAGAGAGGGACAAGAGAGAAAGGGCACCCACACAUAUACACAUAAAAUUUGAGGAGCAGAAAAAAACCCAGAAUAGGAGAG
Molecule: small RNA, 331 nt
Filed under: Histoplasma capsulatum var. duboisii H88
Lineage: Eukaryota; Fungi; Ascomycota; Eurotiomycetes; Onygenales; Ajellomycetaceae
Description: Histoplasma capsulatum H88 hypothetical RNA
Source: RNAcentral